AGAAGGAAUCUGCACAAGUACUUCACAUUCAUAUUAUAAAUUCUCUUCAUCAAACAUUUACAAGCUUACAAUAUAUGCAAUUCACUGAUUACGUGUGAAGAAUUACAUCAUAAUUUAGUAUCUGCAGUUUCAAGGCGUCCAAGUUGUACAGAAUGGAACAAGCACAAAGAGUAAAGCUUGUAAGGUCUUCUAGGUGAGCUCAAAGCAUAUGGUUACGGCAAGGUAUCUUAACCCGUCUUCAGGAACAUUUCCAACCUGGACAGUAAGAGAAAAAUUGAAAAAUACAUAUAUAAUAAAACAUUAUCUGCAUUACAUUGAUUUACAACACUCAAAAGAGUCUAUUGAGUGCACCAUUCCUGUUUUAUAAGACAUACGUCUACAACAUCAAGAGAAUUUCUAAUCAAAUUUCCUUUCAAGGCAUCAACUGAAUAUUCAAUUUAAUAGGAAAAUAAAAAAUGUCAGCAGUUUCAUGCAUUGACACGUAAAUUAAGCACAUUUAGCUCACCGCAAUUACAUCAUAUGAUUACCUAUGAUAUAAAUUUUAGUUUCCUGUAUGUGAAGAUUCCAUAGAACACCGUCCAGAAAACUGCACAUAAGACAAAAUAGGAAGUGAUUAAAGCAAGUGACAUCCACAACUUGUAUGAAUUUUUGACAUCAUAGGAUCUUGUAUUUUGGUAUAAACACACAAAGAAUGUAGUUCAAGAUAUGAAAUAGUUUCAUCCCAUGGAAAACAGCAAAAUUCAAACAUUUUUCUAGCACAAACAUGACAGUAGUAUAGAAACCAAAAUGUUUGGUGUUAUGUUGAAGUGGUUUACAACAUUCUUACUAGUCUUUUGGGCUCCCAGUCACAUGUGCCAAUGUUCUUAUCCAAUGUACUAGCACUUUCUGCAAAAAAAUAGAACAAGUUAGAUGUCACAAAGAUGGUGCUGUUUCCAGUCUUACAUGGUCAAUCAGUUGGCAAACAUAUAUGCAGAACACCUAUUUAAUCACAAAUUGAGUGGCCCGAGACAUGCAACAAAAUAGACGCGUAGUUGACAGAACACCUGUUUCUACUAGUAUUGAUUUUAGACUUCCAGUGUGUAUCUAUAGCAAGAUUCCUGUUGAGUACAAAAUACUGAACAGUAAUGCCAGGUCUAACCACUUUACACAUGGAAAGGUACAUUUAUCCUAAACAAUGCAAGCCGGUUAUAACUUAAUUAGUCUAUGAAAGAUGAUGCAGGACCAUAGAGAUAAUCGAGGAUGUGAUUCCAUUUUGCUUGUCUUAAGGAAAAAGGAGUAUUAGAUCAAGGAGAAGUAUUGGACUAUGCGUAGGAAUACAAGUGAAGGCAACACCUAUGCUAUUCAUAAAUGAUUCUACGACUGGCAGACCAAGACACUGCUUCAAGUACUGGCCCAAUAACAAAAGACUAAGCUUUAGAAUACACAGGACAUGCAAAAGCUUAGUUCCUGGACAUGCGCACACUGGACAUGUAAAAGGUUCCACUAAUUGUAUGCAUAAAAAGGCUAAGCACAUUCAGGAGAAGCAUAGUUCAUAUCUUUACUGCAGUUUCAUUUGCAUGAAGCAUAUAGGAAACAAAAUUCUAAAUAAAGUUUCAAUGUUCUGAAAUAGCAACAAGCAUGUAUCUGAAAGCAAAAUACUAAAUCCAAGACUUAUCUACCAAGAUAAACUGCCCCCCAUACCUCACCCACGCUAAUAUGCAGUGGCAUCUAUCUAUUAUAUAUUAAAAAGGAAAAUAGGGAUCAAGAAUAGAGGAUUUACUAGAAAUUCUCACAUUAAUCAGACACAUCGGACCGUUAGUUUGGUGGACCCUCCAUUAAUGAGUAAAUUACGACCAUUAGAAAGGCAGACCCACACCAAUUUUGAUGUAUGACGUCCUGGACUUGAACUCUUGAUUAGUUCAGUAGAUAAAAAGAGAUCAUUUUUAAUUCUGCUUGCGUGACAACAAAACAGCGGCGUCCCGUGGUUAUCCAGGAAAUAAAAGAGCAGCGUCCUGUAGAAAAAAGCAGUGGCAACUACGUUUAUUCACAAAGGAAAAAAAACAUCGGCAAGGGCAUGGUC
Molecule: long non-coding RNA, 2059 nt
Filed under: Triticum aestivum (bread wheat)
Lineage: Eukaryota; Viridiplantae; Streptophyta; Magnoliopsida; Poales; Poaceae
Description: long non-coding RNA (TAES_LNC026179)
Source: RNAcentral